GCCGAGAUGGCUCAGUGGUAGAGCAGCUGUUUUGUAAACAGCAGGUCCCGGGUUCGAAUCCCGGUCUCGGCUCUA
This 75-nucleotide transfer RNA is filed under the name Candidatus Levybacteria bacterium CG10_big_fil_rev_8_21_14_0_10_35_13. RNAcentral's name for it is "tRNA-Thr". It matches the Rfam family "tRNA". From Rfam's summary of the family: Transfer RNA (tRNA) molecules are approximately 80 nucleotides in length. Their secondary structure includes four short double-helical elements and three loops (D, anti-codon, and T loops). Lineage: Bacteria; Candidatus Levyibacteriota. The record is from RNAcentral.